GACAGAGGAUGCAAGCGUUAUCCGGAAUGAUUGGGCGUAAAGCGUCUGUAGGUGGCUUUUUAAGUCUGCCGUUAAAUCCCAGGGCUUAACCCUGGAUAAGCGGUGGAAACUACCAAGCUGGAGUACGGUAGGGGCAGAGGGAAUUUCCGGUGGAGCGGUGAAAUGCGUAGAGAUCGGAAGGAACACCGGUGGCGAAAGCGGCGCGCUGGGCCUCUUCUGACGCUGAGGCGCGAAAGCCAGGGGAGCAAACGGG
Molecule: ribosomal RNA, 253 nt
Filed under: uncultured bacterium
Lineage: Bacteria
Description: partial 16S ribosomal RNA
Rfam family: Bacterial small subunit ribosomal RNA
Source: RNAcentral